This is a long non-coding RNA of Suricata suricatta (meerkat), 368 nucleotides long. RefSeq lists it as uncharacterized. The transcript has 3 exons. Lineage: Eukaryota; Metazoa; Chordata; Mammalia; Carnivora; Herpestidae. The record is from RefSeq and is a predicted model, not a curated record.
GCGAGCCACAGUGGUAUAAAGCAUGGACUCUGGAGCAUGUGAACGUACACCUCAAACUGGCUCAUUACCUCAGAACCAUAAAAGCAAAGAAUACAAAUGUGUUUGAUUUACUUCAACUAAUAUGAGAAUUGUGGAUAGCUCCAGUAUGAUAAUGAAUAUGAAUGGUAAUGAAGUCAAUAGCUUGAUUGCUCCUUCUUUGGAUUCAAUUUUAAAGGACUCGUGUCUGCUUUUAAACAUUUUAAGUCAAGCUCAAUUAUUAAAGCAGAUGCUGACCAUUCAGAAACUGUCAGAUGGAAACUUCUUAAAGAAACACUACUCACCCCAUGGUGAGCCCAAGUCCUCCAGAGGUGGAAAUUUCUGGAACAAUG